This 2498-nucleotide long non-coding RNA is filed under the name Sus scrofa (pig). RNAcentral's name for it is "lncRNA (ENSSSCG00050012236.1)". The record is from RNAcentral. Lineage: Eukaryota; Metazoa; Chordata; Mammalia; Artiodactyla; Suidae.
AAAAAUGAAUACUGUAAAAAUGACUAAUUGAUACAACCACUAUGGAAAACAGUAUGGAGGUACCCUAGAAAACUCAUACAUAGAACUACCAUAUGAUAGCAUGGGUGCAAGUGUCUUUUUCAAGGAAAGAUUUGUCCGGAUAUAUGCCACUAUUGGCCACUAUUGGGCAUAUAUCCAGACAAAACUUUCCUUGAAAAAGACAUUUGCACCUGCAUGUUCAUUACAGCUCUAUUCACAAUAGCCAAGAUAUGGAAACAACACAAAUGUCCAUCAACAGAUGAUUGGUAAUCUGCUAAACUAUUCAUGUACUCAGGCAUUUAUGACCCUUUCUUAGUAAGGGAACAAAUUUUCUCAAACUUUUGAUUUUUUCUUCUUUCAAGAUCAGAUUUUAAAAUGGGGGGGAUUCGAGGUGUCUUUUAUACCUAAACUAUCUUUGGGUUUAUCUCCUGGAAAAUCACAAAUGUUUGUUGUUGUUUUUUUUAACUUAUGUGUUAGCUUCCUAUUGCCACUAUAACAAAUCACAGCAAAUGUACUGGCUUAAAACAACACAAAUAUAUUCCCUCACAGUUCUGAAAGUCAGAAGUCAAAAACAAGAUUCAUUAAGCUAAAAUCAGGAUGUUGGCACAGGUGGUUCCUUCUGGAGGUUCUGAGGGGAGAAUAUGCUUUCUUGCCUUGAAAAGCUUUUGGGGUCCACUCGUUUUCCUUGGUUUAUGGACCCUUUCUCCAUCUUCAAAGCAUAUUACCCCAGUCUCUGCCUCCAUUAUCACAUCACAUAUCUUCUCUUUCAUAUAAUCCUUAUAAUUAUAUUGGUCUUGGAUAAUUCAGAAUAAUUUUCCAUCUCAAAAUCCUAAUUUAAUUACGUCUGCCCAACAUUAUAAAUUAACUAUCCUUUAAUUAAAAAUAAAUAAAUAAUUACAGGUACAACCAUUAAGGAAACUGUAUGGAGGUACCUCAGAAAAUUAAACAUAAAACUACCAUAUGAUCCAGCAAUCCCACUCUUGGGCAUAUAUCCGGAUAAAACUUCCAUACAAAAAGAUAAAUGCACCCCUAUGUUCAUUGCAGCAUUAUUUACAAUAGUCAAGACAUGGAAACAACCUAAAUGUCCAUUGACAGAUGAAUGGAUUAAGAAGAUGUGGUACAUAUACACAAUGGAAUACUACUUGGCCAUAAAAAAGAACAAAAUAAUACCAUUUGCAGCAACACGGAUGGAACUAGAGAUUCUCAUACUAAGUGAAGAAAGUCCAAAGGAGAAAGACAAAUACCAUACAUUAUCACUGAUAUCUGGAAUCUAACGUAUGGCACAAAUGAACCUUUCCACAGAAAAGAAACAAACUCAUGGACGUGGAGAAAAGAUGUGUGGUUGCCAAGAGGGAGGAGGAGGGACUUGGAGGGACUGGGAGUUUGGGGUUAAUAAAUGCAAACUAUUACAUUUGGAAUGGAUAAGCAAUGAGCUUCUGCUAUAUAUCCCAGGAAAAUAUAUCUGAUCACUUGAGAUGGAAAAUGAUGGAGGAUAAUGUGAAAAAAAAAAUGUAUAUAUAACUGGGUCACUUUACUGUACAGCAUAAAUUGACAGAACAUUGUAAAUAAAGUAUAAUAAAAAAAUUUUUUAAAUAAUAAGACUUUGUCUUUCAAGGUAAAAUAUUAUAGAUACUAGGGAUUAGGACAUGAAGAUUUUUGGGAGCCCAUUAUCCAGCCUUACCACACCUCAUAAAAAGGAAUACCAGAAAUAAUUAGGUUUGCUGGUAAACUCUAUAUUUUUCAUGUAACUCCACAUCACUGUCAAAAACUGCAGGGAAAAGUUGUUAAAAGACGCUCAGCUUUCCUUCAGUUAAUUUUGAACAAGCAAAAUAUUACUAAUAUAUAUGUCUUCUGGAUUGCACACUUUUAUGAGGUAGGUUGAAAGACUUUGAAUUUGUCCAUACCUUUGCGAUCCAUGGAAUGUUCUCAGACCCAGAGGAAACAUUGGUUAAAUUCUUACGGAAGAUAUUUAUCAUAGACCAACAGAGGAUUUUACUUUUUCUGUUUACUGGUUACCGAAAUAAAUUAGUUGUACUUAUUCAGUCUUAUCAUCAACAGAUAGUUUCUGCUUCUCUUUCUUCUUUGUCUGAAAACUUAGGACCCAAGACAGAAAUGAAUUCUGACAAAAACAAUCUUGGAGCCUUGUGGGAAGGACUGUAUCAGGAACUCUUCACGACUGACCUUUCAAGACAUAUACUUAUGAUAACAGGCUCUAGAGCUUAACUCAACAUUACCUAGUCAACCAUGAAUCUGCACUAGAGAACUAAAUGAAGGUAUCCAAGAUGCUUCUGAGUCUGGAAGUAGAUGACUUUUAAUAAAAUCUUUCUGCUGAUUCAAGAAAGAUCCAGUAAAACAAGACCUAAGUAAAAGUAGAUUGUACUGAACUAAUAAGGAAAAAUAAAUGGGGCAUUUUGGGAGGAUAUCUUUAUAAUUAUUAUUAUUUUGCUUUUUAGGGCCACACCCGUUCCCAGGUUCCCAGG